RNAcentral lists this ribosomal RNA (253 nucleotides) under uncultured bacterium. Its description in RNAcentral is "partial 16S ribosomal RNA". It matches the Rfam family "Bacterial small subunit ribosomal RNA", at positions 524 to 776 of the family's 1533-position model. The record is from RNAcentral.
UACAGAGGUGGCAAGCGUUGUUCGGAAUUACUGGGCGUAAAGGGCGCGUAGGCGGUCCUACAAGUCCCGCGUGAAAGCCCCCGGCUCAACUGGGGAACUGCGCGGGAAACUGUAGGGCUUGAGUUCGGGAGAGGGAAGCGGAAUUCCGGGUGUAGCGGUGAAAUGCGUAGAUAUCAGGAGGAACACCAAUAGCGAAGGCAGCUCGCUGGGACGGUACUGACGCUAAGGCGCGAAAGCGUGGGGAGCGAACAGG